Ailuropoda melanoleuca (giant panda) is the source of this 73-nucleotide non-coding RNA. NCBI's taxonomy places the organism in Eukaryota, Metazoa, Chordata, Mammalia, Carnivora, Ursidae. The record is from Rfam.
ACCUGGCUGGCUCAUUCGGUAGAGCAUGUGACUCUUGAUCUCAGGCACAUGAGUUUGAGCCCUAUGCUGGGGA